This is an unclassified non-coding RNA of Pongo abelii (Sumatran orangutan), 117 nucleotides long. It matches the Rfam family "Metazoan signal recognition particle RNA". From Rfam's summary of the family: The signal recognition particle (SRP) is a universally conserved ribonucleoprotein. It is involved in the co-translational targeting of proteins to membranes. NCBI's taxonomy places the organism in Eukaryota, Metazoa, Chordata, Mammalia, Primates, Hominidae. The record is from Ensembl.
GCUGGGCGCGGUGGCUCACGCCUGUAAUCCCAGCACUUUGGGAGGCUGAGGCAGGCGGAUCACCUGAGGUCAGGAGUUUGAGGCCAGCCUGGCCAACAUGGUGAAAUCCUGUCUCUA